GCGUGCCUAAUACAUGCAAGUCGAGCCGAAUCACUUCGGUGGUUAGCGGCGGACGGGUGAGUAACACGUGGGCAACCUGCCUGUAAGACUGGGAUAACACCGGGAAACCGGUGCUAAUACCGGAUAAUCCUUUUCCUCUCAUGAGGAAAAGCUGAAAGUCGGUUUCGGCUGACACUUACAGAUGGGCCCGCGGCGCAUUAGCUAGUUGGUGAGGUAACGGCUCACCAAGGCGACGAUGCGUAGCCGACCUGAGAGGGUGAUCGGCCACACUGGGACUGAGACACGGCCCAGACUCCUACGGGAGGCAGCAGUAGGGAAUCUUCCACAAUGGACGAAAGUCUGAUGGAGCAACGCCGCGUGAGCGAUGAAGGCCUUCGGGUCGUAAAGCUCUGUUGUUAGGGAAGAAUAAGUACCGGAGUAACUGACGGUACCUUGACGGUACCUAACCAGAAAGCCACGGCUAACUACGUGCCAGCAGCCGCGGUAAUACGUAGGUGGCAAGCGUUGUCCGGAAUUAUUGGGCGUAAAGCGCG
This 533-nucleotide ribosomal RNA is filed under the name uncultured earthworm cast bacterium. RNAcentral's name for it is "bacterial SSU rRNA". It matches the Rfam family "Bacterial small subunit ribosomal RNA", at positions 42 to 569 of the family's 1533-position model. The record is from RNAcentral.